RNAcentral lists this non-coding RNA (47 nucleotides) under Lotharella globosa. The record is from RNAcentral. Lineage: Eukaryota; Cercozoa; Chlorarachniophyceae.
GGAGGAGGAGGCGGGGGCAGCAACUCCUCGUCCUCCAUGUACAAGAG